UUCGCUUCUCUGCCUUUUGGCUAAGAUCAAGUGUAGUAUCUGUUCUUAUCAGUUGUCAGCACAAACAGACAGACAGGUGGACAGACAUUCACCUGGAGUGACGUAAGAAGAAGCAGAGGAUGCCGAUGUUCAAGUUUUAACAUUGCACCCGUUUUUUAUUGUUGAUGUAAGAGCAUAUACACCCAAA
This is a small nuclear RNA of Rana temporaria (common frog), 187 nucleotides long. RefSeq annotates it as U2 spliceosomal RNA. The record is from RefSeq and is a predicted model, not a curated record. Lineage: Eukaryota; Metazoa; Chordata; Amphibia; Anura; Ranidae. The transcript has a single exon.